This 1947-nucleotide ribosomal RNA is filed under the name Clostridioides difficile. Its description in RNAcentral is "partial 23S ribosomal RNA". It matches the Rfam family "Bacterial large subunit ribosomal RNA", at positions 739 to 2703 of the family's 2925-position model. Lineage: Bacteria; Bacillati; Bacillota; Clostridia; Peptostreptococcales; Peptostreptococcaceae. The record is from RNAcentral.
AGCAGGAUGAAGCGAAAGUAAAAUUUCGUGGAGGUCCGAACCCACGAGCGUUGAAAAGCUCGGGGAUGACUUGUGGGUAGCGGUGAAAUUCCAAUCGAGCCCGGAGAUAGCUGGUUCUCCCCGAAAUAGCUUUAGGGCUAGCCUCAAGGUGAGAGAUACGGAGGUAGAGCACUGAAUGUCCUAGGGGGUAUUGCACCUACCGAAGACUAUCAAACUCCGAAUGCCGUCAUCUUAUACUUGGGAGUCAGACUGUGGGUGAUAAGAUUCAUAGUCGAAAGGGCAACAGCCCAGAUCGUCAGCUAAGGUCCCUAAAUGUAAGUUAAGUGGUAAAGGAUGUGGGAUUGCACAGACAACCAGGAUGUUGGCUUAGAAGCAGCCACUCAUUCAAAGAGUGCGUAAUAGCUCACUGGUCGAGUGAUCCUGCGCCGAAGAUUUCCGGGGCUAAAACUUACUACCGAAGCUACGGCAUCAGUAAUGAUGGGUAGGGGAGCUUCCCAUACGGGUUGAAGCAUGACCGUAAGGACAUGUGGACAGUAUGGGAGUGAGAAUGUUGGCAUGAGUAGCGAGAUGUGGGUGAGAAUCCCACAGGCCGUAAACCCAAGGUUUCCAGGGGAAGGUUCGUCCGCCCUGGGUUAGUCGGGACCUAAGCUGAGGCCGAAAGGCGUAGGUGAUGGACAACAGGUUGAUAUUCCUGUACUACCGAUAACCGUUUGAGAGAAGGGAUGACACAGUAGGAUAAGCUAAGCACACUGUUGGUUAUGUGUGCCCAAGCAUUGAGGCAGUCAAAGUAGGCAAAUCCGCUUUGAUAAUGCUGGGAUGUGAUGGGGAGCGAAAUUUAGUAGCGAAGUAGCUGAUUUCACACUGUCAAGAAAAGUCUCUAUCGAGGUUAAAGGUACCCGUACCGCAAACCGACACAGGUGGGUGAGGAGAGUAUCCUAAGGCCAGCGAGAGAACUGUUGUUAAGGAACUCGGCAAAAUGACCCCGUAACUUAGGGAUAAGGGGUGCCACCAUCAGGUGGCCGCAGAGAAUAGGCCCAAGCGACUGUUUACCAAAAACAUAGGUUUCUGCUAAGUCGCAAGACGAUGUAUAGGAGCUGACGCCUGCCCGGUGCUGGAAGGUUAAGGGGAUCUGUUAGAGCAAUCGAAGCAGUGAACUUAAGCCCCAGUAAACGGCGGCCGUAACUAUAACGGUCCUAAGGUAGCGAAAUUCCUUGUCGGGUAAGUUCCGACCCGCACGAAAGGCGUAACGAUUUGGGCACUGUCUCAACAACAGACUCGGUGAAAUUGUAAUUCCGGUGAAGAUGCCGGAUACCUGCGACAGGACGGAAAGACCCCAUGGAGCUUUACUGUAGCUUGACAUUGGGUCUUGGUACUACAUGUACAGGAUAGGUGGGAGGCUUUGAAACCAGGACGCCAGUUUUGGCGGAGCCAUCCUUGGGAUACCACCCUUGUAGUACUGGGACUCUAACCAUAGGCCAUGAAUCUGGUCUUGGGACACUGUCAGGUGGGCAGUUUGACUGGGGCGGUCGCCUCCCAAAAGGUAACGGAGGCGCUCAAAGGUUCUCUCAGUACGGUCGGAAAUCGUACGUAGAGUGUAAAGGCAAAAGAGAGCUUGAUUGCAAGACAUACAGGUCGAGCAAGGAUGAAAAUCGGACUUAGUGAUCCGGUGGUUCUGCGUGGAAGGGCCAUCGCUCAACGGAUAAAAGCUACCCUGGGGAUAACAGGCUUAUCUCCCCCAAGAGUCCACAUCGACGGGGAGGUUUGGCACCUCGAUGUCGGCUCAUCACAUCCUGGGGCUGUAGUAGGUCCCAAGGGUUGGGCUGUUCGCCCAUUAAAGUGGUACGCGAGCUGGGUUCAGAACGUCGUGAGACAGUUCGGUCCCUAUCCGUCGCAGGCGUAGGAAAUUUGAGAAGACCUGUCCUUAGUACGAGAGGACCGGGAUGGACG